Non-coding RNA from Chiloscyllium plagiosum (whitespotted bambooshark), 73 nucleotides. The record is from the annotation of a RefSeq genome assembly. NCBI's taxonomy places the organism in Eukaryota, Metazoa, Chordata, Chondrichthyes, Orectolobiformes, Hemiscylliidae.
CGGCCAGUGGCGCAAUGGAUAACGCGCCUGGCUAAGGAUCAGGAGGCUGUAGGUUCGAAUCCUAUCUGGCCCG